RNAcentral lists this long non-coding RNA (3825 nucleotides) under Citrus maxima (pomelo). RNAcentral describes it as "long non-coding RNA (CMAX_LNC003762)". Lineage: Eukaryota; Viridiplantae; Streptophyta; Magnoliopsida; Sapindales; Rutaceae. The record is from RNAcentral.
CUUUCAAAUCACUUACUUGAGUUACCUUCAUUCAAUUACCGCUUAGUAGGACACUCUCUUAACUUUCAUAACUUUCAUACUCUUUGGGCUUCUCGCCAAUGCGUCCUUCGCCCACUUAUCUCAUAACUAUAUAAACAUCAACGGCAAAACGACGUCCCCGACGUCAGUGGUUAGUCGAAAAUGGUAGAGGAAAAGGUAAGGAACAAAACCCAAGUGCUGGCUUCACCGGAAACCGGCGAAAUCACGGCGAAUCGAGGCGGCGAUUCCGCGGAACUUCAAAGCUUUGAUCGGUGGCUUUCCGAUCGAUUUCCGGCGGCAAGGACGGCAUGGAUACGUUGCUCGUCUCUUAAGCUUCAAAUCGGUACCAACCUUGACCGGAACGGUGGCCGGAAAUGGGAGAACCGGCCAGGUCGCGCUCGCAGGUCGGGUUGGAUCCGGUUCGGUUUCUCUUCUCUCUUUCCUUUCUCUCUCUCUCUCUCUCUCAAUUUAUAUGGGUGGUCAACAGGGUCAAAAUCAGGUGUGGGGUAUUACAAACUCCCCCCCUACAAAGAAUUUCGUCCUCGAAAUUCACUUGUAGUCAUGCUCACAGAAUUUAAACCUCAAGAAUUACUUAUGAUCUAUAAAUCCUUAUAAAGAUCAAAACCAACCAUAUCACACUGUCACUGCGCUACUCUGAUACCUCAAAAAUAUAUCGUUCUUAGUAACAGAAUCACAAGUCCUAACGGUUUGGCAUAGACUUAAUUCUAAUCGUCCUUGAAAUAUAUUUCCCAAGCGAUGGCGAAUGUGACUUCCAUCCGCACAUUUUCAGUUGGGAAUGCUCUGAUACCAUUUGUAACGACCCGUCCCGACCUCCACAGGGCGAAUCUUACUGAUAGAUGUUUAAAAAUAAAAUAAUAAUAAAUAAGAAUAAUCCUUUUACAAUCCAUAAAAAUCAUAUCCUUGAAAAUACAAAUAUAAAACGCAAACUGCAGUGGAAGAAUUUAAAAUUCAUGCCAAACCAUCUAAUUUCUCCAUUUAAGUUCUUCUCGACGCUCAUCACGAAUCAAUCCUGAUUUACAGAAACUGAAUCACAAUAAAGUAUAAUGAGUACGAAACUCAGUAAGUAAACUAGUUUUGCAUAUACCAAAAUACAUACAUACAUAUAUAUAGUGCACAUGAAUGACGUGCCAUGAUAUUCGAAAACAUCGUAAAACAAAUCAUCGAAAUCUCAUUCUGUCUUUCUCAAACUUUCACAAUCUCUUUCAAAUCACUUACUUGAGCUACCUUCAUUCAAUUACCGCUUAGUAGGACACUCUCUUAACUUUUAUAACUUUCAUACUCUUUGGGCUUCUCGCCAAUGCGUCCUUCACCCACUUAUCUCAUAACUAUAUAAACAUCAACGGCAAAACGACGUCCCCGGCGUCAGUGGUUAGUCGGAAAUGGCAGAGGAAAAGGUAAGGAACAAAACCCAAGUGCUGGCUUCACCGGAAACCGGCGAAAUCACGGCGAAUCGAGGCGGCGAUUCCGCGGAACUUCAAAGCUUUGAUCGGUGGCUUUCCGAUCGAUUUCCAGCGGUAAGGACGGCAUGGAUACGUUGCUCGUCUCUCAAGCUUCAAAUCGGUACCAACCUUGACCGGAACGGUGGCCGGAAAUAGGAGAACCGGCCGGGUCGUGCUCGCAGGUCGGGUUGGAUCCGGUUCGGUUUCUCUUCUCUCUCUCUCUCUCAAUUUAUAUGGGUGGUCAACAGGGUCAAAAUCGGGUGUGGGGCAUUACAAACUCCCCCCCUUCAAAGAAUUUCGUCCUCGAAAUUCACUUGUAGUCAUGCUCACAGAAUUUAAACCUCAAGAAUUACUUGUGAUCUAUAAAUCCUUAUAAAGAUCAAAACCAACCAUAUCACACUGUCGCUGCGCUACUCUGAUACCUCAAAAAUAUAUCGUUCUUAGUAACAGAAUCACAAGUCCUAAUGGUUUGGCAUAGACUUAAUUCUAAUCAUCCUUGAAAUAUAUUUCCCAAGCGAUGGCGAAUGUGACUUCCAUCCGCACAUUUUCGGUUGGGAAUGCUCUGAUACCAUUUGUAACGACCCGCCCCGACCUCCACAGGGCAAAUCUUACUGAUAGAUGUUUAAAAAUAAAAUAAUAAUAAAUAAGAAUAAUCCUUUUACAAUCCAUAAAAAUCAUAUCCUUGAAAAUACAAAUAUAAAACGCAAACUGCAGCAGAAGAAUUUAAAAUUCAUGCCAAACCAUCUAAUUUCUCCAUUCAAGUUCUUCUCGACGCUCAUCACGAAUCAAUCCUGAUUUACGGAAACUGAAUCACAAUAAACUAUAAUGAGUACGAAACUCAGUAAGUAAACUAGUUUUGCAUAUACCAAAAUACAUACAUACAUAUAUAUAGUGCACAUGAAUGACGUGCCAUGAUAUUCGAAAACAUCGUAAAACAAAUCAUCGAAAUCUCAUUCUGUCUUUCUCAAACUUUCACAAUCUCUUUCAAAUCACUUACUUGAACUACUUUCAUUCAAUUACCGCUUAGUAGGACACUCUCUUAACUUUCAUAACUUUCAUACUCUUUGGGCUUCUCGCCAAUGCGUCCUUCGCCCACUUAUCUUAAAACUAUAUAAACAUCUAGAGUAUCCUCCACUAAGCCAGUAACUAAUUCAAGCAUCCAAGCUAAAACUAUAAAACAAUCUUUCUUUCUUCAAAUUUCGUUUGCUAAAAUCAACUUUCUCAUUUUACAGAAAAUAUAAUGCAUUUUUGUGCUCAUGCCAAUGAAAUAUUCACACAUACGUAUGCCCAUGUCCAUAAAUACACAUAACAACAUAUCAUAUCAACACAUCACAUAAACACAUGGGCAAAACAUAUAAAUCAAUAUUCGGACAUAUACAAAAAUAGGCUUUUCAAACAUGUCAAACAUAUAUAUUGUUUAUUGUGAUUCGUUUGGAAAUCUAAUUUACUUACCUCCUGGCAUCCUCGAGUAACAAAUGCAUAUCGUUAUCAUCGGCGUAAAAAUAAAUAAAAAUACUCUCAUAAGAAUAAAAUUAAACCAUAAUCAUAAACUCCAAUAUUCUCAAAUUCUCAAUAUAAUCACAUUCCAUACUUAACCUCAAAUAAUCUUAAUUUAAAUCAUAAAUCAUCAAAAUACUCAUAAUUCUUGAAAUUACGAAAUUACCCCCAAAUUUCAAAAUUACCAAAAUGCCCUUGAAUUCAAUAUUACCAAAAUACCCUCAUAUAUCAAAAUUACCAAAUUAACCUCAAAAUCAUAAAUUACCAACUUUAUCCUCAAUUUCAGCAAUUACUAAAAUACCCACAAAAUCUGAAAUUACAAAAUUGCCCUUAGACUGUGAAAUUGCCGAAAUACCCUUGCCGGUCAACGGUCACCGGAAUUUGGUCAACACUGGCCAGGAAGCUCAAAUCUUAAAGUGCUAAUCACGCUGAGUUCAAUGGUGGCGGUGAUGACCUCCCACGCGCGGUGAUGGCUCCGGAUUGAGCUCCCGAAGUCGUGAAACUGUCAACGGCCGAUCAAUGGCAAAACGACGUCCCCGGCGUCAGUGGUUAGUCAGAAAUGGCAGAGGAAAAGGUAAGGAACAAAACCCAAGUACUGGCUUCACCGGAAACCGGUGAAAUCACGGCGAAUCGAGGCGGCGAUUCCGCGGAACUUCAAAGCUUCGAUCGGUGGCUUUCCGAUCGAUUUCCGGCGGCAAGGACGGCAUGGAUACAUUGCUCGUCUCUCAAGCUUCAAAUCUGUACCAACCUUGACCGGAACGGUGGCCGGAAAUGGGAGAACCAGCCGGGUCGUGCUCGCGGGUCGGGUUGGAUCCGGUUCGGUUUCUCUUCUCUCUCUCUUCUCUUCUCU